This 233-nucleotide ribosomal RNA is filed under the name uncultured bacterium. RNAcentral describes it as "partial 16S ribosomal RNA". It matches the Rfam family "Bacterial small subunit ribosomal RNA", at positions 87 to 339 of the family's 1533-position model. The record is from RNAcentral.
CCUUGAGAGUGGCGAACGGGUGAGUAAUAUAUCGGAACGUGCCCAGUCGUGGGGGAUAACGUAGCGAAAGCUGUGCUAAUACCCAAUAUGCUGUGGAGUGAAAGAAUUUCGCCGAAAGACGAUCUUGCGUCUGAUUAGCUAGUUGGGGUGGUAAUGGCACACCAAGGCGACGAUCAGUAGCUGGUCUGAGAGGAUGGACAGCCACAUUGGGACUGAGACACGGCCCAGACUCC